GAACUGAGUUCUGAAGCACAGCAAAUAUUAGGUGUAAAGAAAUUUAUGAUUUUUUUCUAAUAGGUGUAUACAGUGCCUAAGGGCAGCAGGACCUGAGGGGGUGGCAUAGUCUUUCAUCUCCCAGAAGCCACCCCUGUUGGCAUUGAGCUCAGCUUGCCUGGCAGAAACAGACCUGGUGACCCGGUGUCAGCACCCUACUCUCGCCUCUGUUACAUCAGACGCCAUUAUACACGAGUUGCGUCCAGCACAGACACCUGACCGCAGCUCAGAUGAGUGUUGAGUCUCACGGUCAGUGAUGGCGUGAUGCGGCAAGCGGGGGAUAUGCACUGCGCAGGAGAGGUGCCUUCCUGUCCCUGCUCCGCUGCACCAGCUGGACAGGUGCCUUCCUGUCCACCCUCCGCUGCACCAGCCUACUUCAGAGUCAGGCAAGACAAUAUAAGCGGGUGUCCCAGAGAACCCGGCCCCGCCUGCCGCCACAACAGUAGAACCAACACUAUCAGGAAAGGGCAUGGAGGAGGAGGCUGCACUGAGAAGAUGACAGCCGGGUCCGUGGAUGGCAGAGCGGGUUGACACCUGCGAGAAGCAGCGGACAUCCAGGGGUUACCCUUUCACCUUAUUUCAGUUACGGAUAUUUAUUCCAUCACACUGGAAGAUGAUGAGAAAGUCUUAGCUAUGUGCCCUGCAUCCUGCAUAAGGAACUGUGAACUGUCAUCUGUAUGCUAUAGUUCCCCUCUGACUUCUGAGCAUGUAAUUUGUGAUGCAAAUAGAACUACAGAUCAGUGUGAAGAGGGCAAGAAAGGCAGCAGUCUGCUUCCAACCAGGAUCCUGCCCUAGUAAAAGUGAUCUCUCUCUGUGUCUAAGAUAAUGGACACUGCACAAUGAAGGUCAGGGGUCAUCCAAA
Molecule: long non-coding RNA, 901 nt
Organism: Pseudophryne corroboree (corroboree frog)
Lineage: Eukaryota; Metazoa; Chordata; Amphibia; Anura; Myobatrachidae
Exons: 2
Source: RefSeq, a predicted model, not a curated record